CCUACGGGUGGCAGCAGUGGGGAAUAUUGGACAUUGGGGGCAACCCUGAUCCAGCCAUGCCGCGUGUGUGAAGAAGGCCCUCGGGUUGUAAAGCACUUUCAGUGAGGAAGAACGCCUGGUGGUUAAUACCCAUCAGGAAAGACAUCACUCACAGAAGAAGCACCGGCUAACUCCGUGCCAGCAGCCGCGGUAAUACGGAGGGUGCGAGCGUUAAUCGGAAUUACUGGGCGUAAAGCGCGCGUAGGUGGCUUGAUAAGCCGGUUGUGAAAGCCCCGGGCUCAACCUGGGAACGGCAUCCGGAACUGUCAAGCUAGAGUGCAGGAGAGGAAGGUAGAAUUCCCGGUGUAGCGGUGAAAUGCGUAGAGAUCGGGAGGAAUACCAGUGGCGAAGGCGGCCUUCUGGACUGACACUGACACUGAGGUGCGAAAGCGUGGGUAGCAAACAGGAUUAGAUACCCGUGUAGUC
This 465-nucleotide ribosomal RNA is filed under the name Vreelandella stevensii. RNAcentral's name for it is "partial 16S ribosomal RNA". It matches the Rfam family "Bacterial small subunit ribosomal RNA", at positions 338 to 795 of the family's 1533-position model. Lineage: Bacteria; Pseudomonadati; Pseudomonadota; Gammaproteobacteria; Oceanospirillales; Halomonadaceae. The record is from RNAcentral.